RNAcentral lists this ribosomal RNA (253 nucleotides) under uncultured bacterium. Its description in RNAcentral is "partial 16S ribosomal RNA". It matches the Rfam family "Bacterial small subunit ribosomal RNA", at positions 524 to 776 of the family's 1533-position model. The record is from RNAcentral.
UACAGAGGAGCCAAGCGUUGUCCGGAUUGACUGGGCGUAAAGCGCACGCAGGCGGGGGUGCGCGUGGGGUGUGAAAUCUGGCCGCUUAACGGCCAGGCGCCAUCCCAUACGGCACGCCUGGAGCCUUGCAGAGGUCGGUGGAAUUGCCGGUGUAGUGGUGAAAUGCGUAGAGAUCGGCAGGAACACCCAGGGGGAAACCAGCCGACCGGGCAAGUGCUGACGCUGAGGUGCGAGAGCGUGGGGAGCGAACCGG